Molecule: ribosomal RNA, 396 nt
Filed under: uncultured bacterium
Lineage: Bacteria
Description: partial 16S ribosomal RNA
Rfam family: Bacterial small subunit ribosomal RNA
Source: RNAcentral
CCUACGGGUGGCAGCAGUGAGGAAUAUUGGUCAAUGGUCGGAAGACUGAACCAGCCAAGCCGCGUGCGGGAUGAAGGUACAGAGUAUCGUAAACCGCUUUUGUCCGGGAACAAAGGCAGAUACGUGUCCCCGGCUGAGUGUAUCGGAAGAAUAAGCAUCGGCUAACUCCGUGCCAGCAGCCGCGGUAAUACGGAGGAUUCGAGCGUUAUCCGGAUUUAUUGGGUUUAAAGGGUGCGGAGGCGGUCUGUUAAGUCAGCGGUUAAAUCCCGGGGCUCAACCUCGGACAUGCCGUUGAUACUGGCAGGCUAGAGUGGGAUAGAGGUAUGCGGAAUGUGUGGUGUAGCGGUGAAAUGCAUAGAGAUCGCGCAGAACACCGAUUGCGAAGGCAGCAUGCCG